UCGACCUGCAGGCGGCCGCGAAUUCACUAGUGAUUAGAGUUUGAUCAUGGCUCAGAACGAACGCUGGCGGCAUGCCUAACACAUGCAAGUCGAACGAAGGCUUCGGCCUUAGUGGCGCACGGGUGCGUAACGCGUGGGAAUCUGCCCCUUGGUUCGGAAUAACAGUUAGAAAUGACUGCUAAUACCGGAUGACGACGUAAGUCCAAAGAUUUAUCGCCGAGGGAUGAGCCCGCGUAGGAUUAGCUAGUUGGUGUGGUAAAGGCGCACCAAGGCGACGAUCCUUAGCUGGUCUGAGAGGAUGAUCAGCCACACUGGGACUGAGACACGGCCCAGACUCCUACGGGAGGCAGCAGUGGGGAAUAUUGGACAAUGGGCGAAAGCCUGAUCCAGCAAUGCCGCGUGAGUGAUGAAGGCCUUAGGGUUGUAAAGCUCUUUUACCCGGGAUGAUAAUGACAGUACCGGGAGAAUAAGCUCCGGCUAACUCCGUGCCAGCAGCCGCGCAAUACGAAUCGAAUUCCCGCGGCCGCC
This 528-nucleotide ribosomal RNA is filed under the name uncultured Alphaproteobacteria bacterium. RNAcentral's name for it is "bacterial SSU rRNA". It matches the Rfam family "Bacterial small subunit ribosomal RNA", at positions 1 to 549 of the family's 1533-position model. Lineage: Bacteria; Pseudomonadati; Pseudomonadota; Alphaproteobacteria. The record is from RNAcentral.